RNAcentral lists this ribosomal RNA (258 nucleotides) under uncultured bacterium. Its description in RNAcentral is "partial 16S ribosomal RNA". It matches the Rfam family "Bacterial small subunit ribosomal RNA", at positions 524 to 778 of the family's 1533-position model. The record is from RNAcentral.
GACAGAGGUGCCAAGCGUUAGGCGGAAUCACUGGGCUUAAAAGCGUGUGUAGGCGGAUCGUUAAGUACCUUGUGAAAUCCCACGGCUCAACCGUGGAACUGCUCGGUAUACUGGCGGUCUUGAGCCACCUAGGGGCAAGCUGGAACAACGGUGGAGCGUGAAAUGCGUAGAUAUCGCUUGGAACGCCAACGGUGAAAACAGGUUGCUGGGGGGUGUGCUGACGCUGAGACACGAAAAGCCAGGGGGAGCGAAACGGGG